This 3211-nucleotide long non-coding RNA is filed under the name Capsella grandiflora. RNAcentral describes it as "long non-coding RNA (CGRA_LNC001113)". The record is from RNAcentral. Lineage: Eukaryota; Viridiplantae; Streptophyta; Magnoliopsida; Brassicales; Brassicaceae.
ACGGUAAAUUAUAUAGAUACCCACAAAAAGAAAUCAAAUACAAGACAAAAAGUUAGAAUAGAAAUAUAUAAGAAAAAAAAAUAAAGGAAGAGAGCUUUUGAGAUGGUUGGUUGUAAUAAGAAAGACACGAAGGUGGUCAUGUCUUGUCCAUUUUGACACAAAGUGUUUCAAAGCCAAAUUGAUAGGUUUGAUUUGAUUUUCAAAUCAUGAAUCUGUUACUUCAGAGAACAAAUUUAUAUACAAUUAUUAUAGCCUACUUAUACCAUAUAGCUUUGUCUAUUGUUUUCUUGUAGGUCUAAGCAUAAAUAAACCCUACCGAAGAAUCUUAUAGACCAAAACCAUGAUUUAAGACAUAGCACUAUUCGUAUAUGUGUUUUGGUUUUAAAAAUGUGACGUGUUUUGAACGGAUGGUCGAUAGCAUCAAUCGAGAAAUUUCAUUACUGUUUGGGUUUGUUGUUAUUGACUUGAGCACGUUAAAGAAAAGUUAAAACAGAAUAAUUAUGGAAUCUUCAAAAAAUAUCUAGAAAACCUAUGUAUUCUUGAAAUUUAUUUUCGAAGUUGAUUAACAAAAAAAAAAAUUGCAAAAGUUUUGAUAUAACAUUCAAUAAUUAGGAAGAAAAAAAGUCAGUAAGGUCUUUUGAAAGAUUUAUAUUCAUAAAAUUAUUUCGAAGUACUACGUCUAAUUUAUCAAGUGAAAGUUUUAAAGCAGUUUAAGUUUUGUUACUAAUCUAUAUGCAAAACAUGUGAUUUUUUUGUACAAUAUAUUUAUAUAUCUGUUAUAGAAUAAAUGUUUGAUAUAACUUAUAGAGUUUGAGAAAUUAAUUUAUGACAUUGAAAGUAGUCGUAGAUCUCUACUUUUGUUUUUUCACAUCUUUUUAAAUCACCAAUAUAAAGAUUUCUCAGACAAACAGACGUUUAUUUAUUUGUUUUUGAGAUAAUCAUUUUUAAACACUCGUUUCGUAAUUGUCGAUCGAUUCUAGCGAAUUUCCAAUUUGAUUUCAAGGCAAGCAGAGGGUCAGAAUAAGCAUCUAGCACAGAAUCUUCAAGUUUUUCCCGUCCUCGUUCAGCAACUCCGCACCCCCAAACCCCCUAGCAUUCGUCGCCAUCAUCCUCCUUUAAACGAUCACAGGGGCAUGGACUCUACAACCAACCCCUAGAAUCGAAUUAAUACAAUUUAAUAGAAUCGAGCUCUGGUAUGGGAAAUAACAUCAAAUUUACAUAACAUCUCAUUCAUCGAUACGGCGAUUUCCGGCUACGUUUAAACUAACGUUAAAACAAAUAUUUAUAUUCACUUAAUAAAUAUCAAUAUAUCUAUUUAUAGAAUAGUUAAUAAAAUAACAGCGCUAAAAAUCACUUUAAAAUAAAAGAAAAAUAAUAAUACAAAAUAAUAUUAUGAUAAGUUGAUAACUCAAUUAUCAUCUACCGUAAGAAAAUGAACAAUGUAUCAAUCGUUUGAUAAAUUUGAACAAAGUAGUGCACUAGUAUUAAAAGCUUAGUUCCAUCGAUGCUCCACUCUCAUAACAAUUUGCCAAUUUGAAUUAGAUCCAGCACAAGAAUACUUGUCAUGGGUCAAAAACAAACUAAUUGAUAAAGUUAAGCACCAUAUUCUAAAUAUCAUGUACUAGAGUCUCUAGACAUUGACACUUUGUCUAUGUAUGAGACAAAAAAUCUAGGCAUUACGAAUAACUCUUGUUUAAAGUGAAUCUUAGAUUGUCUUUCAAUUCUAUAACAACUCAAAACCAUUCAUAGCUAGACACAAAAACAUGAAUCUCUAUUUUGUCGACAUGAUCAUAUGAUCUUCAAGUUAGGACCAAAAACUUUAAACAAACCAAAACAAAAAAGGUUAGGACCAAACUUUAAACAAAACUACAGUCAGUUAUCAACAUUUCUUACUGUUUGCAUGAACAUGCUUCUGUUUCUAUUAAUGCAAUCUAUGUGAUUGAUUAUAAUUUGGGAACUUGGCCAAAUGACAAGAAAAGCAAAUGACUGAGUUAUGUGUCUUGUUUUUAACUUUUGUUACCGUAAAAUUAUAGUUUUUUGUAUAUGAUUUUUGAAUACAAGACCAGUCUGAAAGAUUUAUAUAAACAGAUCCGUAAUACAAAACAUAUAUAACACAACGCCGACAAAAUCAAAUUGUGAAAAUUGUUAUAACGACACUUAAUAUGAAACUGAUAGAAUAAUUUUCAUCGAUAAUUUCGAAUAUUUUGGUAUUAUCAAUCUUAUUGAACUAUCAAUUAAUUUUCCCGAUUUAAGUGAAUCUCUUUCAUUUGCUAAGACUGGGACACUAACAAGAAUCCAACCCCAAAUUAAAAAGUUAAUAAGUUUAAGAUGUGAUUAUUGUAGUUACUAAAUAAAUAUUCUUCUCAGUUUAUAUGUGGUCUUCCAUCAUCUAGCAUUGUGAGUUGCUGAUAUAAUCAAACAGAUGGAGUAAAACUUAGCUUUACUUCUUUGCAUUAGAAGAAUCAUUUUUAUUUAUUUAUUUAUUUUUUUUGCAUUAGAAGAAUCAUGCAUCAUCAUUUUCAUGUGACCGAUUGGCUCGUAAAUCUCGUAAAUCAUAUAAUUUUUCACUUUGGUAGUAUAGAUUUUGGACUAUUUUUUCCAUAUAUCAUUUUGUUCACAUUUCUCUUACAUCUAAAUAACUAUUAAACUGUAUACUACAAUUGGUAUUGGCCAAAAUCGAUAUUCAAAAAUCUAACCGGGCUAAAAUAAUUGUGGAAUCAAAUCAUGCCAAACCGGGUUGGUAUAUUGGACCAAAGUAAGAAAAAAACGAAAUAGAUGGUUCUCAUCAUCCCUCAGGUAAAGCAAAAUAUUCAUAAAGAUGAAAAUAAUAAGCCAAUAAACAUAGAGAUUAUAUUGGCUAUGAACGAAUCAUUCAACAGCAAAAGAUACUGCAGCUCCAAUGUCUUUUUAUAUUAUUCCUAUGUUACUUUUAGUAAAUUAGGAAGUUGAGGCUAAUGUUAUUAACUUCACUCUCAAGAAAAGGUGAUCAAGAAGAUAUGUACCACGACUAGACAAUAUAAAACUACUGUUUUGAUUCAACUUGUUUGUGUGUGCAUGUUUUGUUUUGUAUAUAUAAUAAUUAUGAUUUCUGUUUCUUUUUCUAUUAUAAAUAAUUGGUUCGAUGAAUUUAGAAGAUGUUUUUUCAUUUUUGAUUAAAAUCUACAUGUGGGUGCUGUGUGGUAAGCUUUCUAAUUCAUAUAGUAAAAAAANN